RNAcentral lists this ribosomal RNA (253 nucleotides) under uncultured bacterium. RNAcentral's name for it is "partial 16S ribosomal RNA". It matches the Rfam family "Bacterial small subunit ribosomal RNA", at positions 524 to 776 of the family's 1533-position model. The record is from RNAcentral.
UACGUAGGGACCAAGCGUUGUCCGGAAUCAUUGGGCGUAAAGCGCGCGUAGGUGGCUUCGUAAGUCCGUUGUGAAAGUCAAAGGCUCAACCUUUGAAAGCCGAUGGAUACUGCGGAGCUAGAGUACGGAAGAGGCGAGUGGAAUUCCUGGUGUAGCGGUGGAAUGCGCAGAUAUCAGGAGGAACACCAAUAGCGAAGGCAGCUCGCUGGGACGUUACUGACACUAAGGCGCGAAAGCGUGGGGAGCAAACAGG